GUGGGGAAUAUUGGACAAUGGGCGAAAGCCUGAUCCAGCCAUGCCGCGUGAACGAUGAAGGCCUUCGGGUUGUAAAGUUCUUUAGCCGAUGAUUAUAAUGACUGUAGUCGGAAAAUAAGCCCCGGCUAACUUCGUGCCAGCAGCCGCGGUAAUACGAAGGGGGCGAGCGUUAUUCGGAAUCACUGGGCGUAAAGCGUGCGUAGGCGGUUUUGUAAGUUAGGAGUGAAAGCCCAGGGCUCAACCUUGGAAUUGCUCUUAAAACUGCAAGGCUCGAAUCUCGGAGAGGAUAGCGGAAUUUCCAGUGUAGCAGUGAAAUGCGUAGAUAUUGGAAGGAACACCAGUGGCGUAAGCGGCUAUCUGGACGAGUAUUGACGCUGAGGCACGAAAGCGUGGGGAUCAAACAGGAUUAGAUACCCUUGUAGUCC
Molecule: ribosomal RNA, 425 nt
Filed under: uncultured bacterium
Lineage: Bacteria
Description: partial 16S ribosomal RNA
Rfam family: Bacterial small subunit ribosomal RNA
Source: RNAcentral